This 228-nucleotide ribosomal RNA is filed under the name uncultured Gardnerella sp. Its description in RNAcentral is "partial 16S ribosomal RNA". It matches the Rfam family "Bacterial small subunit ribosomal RNA", at positions 128 to 356 of the family's 1533-position model. Lineage: Bacteria; Bacillati; Actinomycetota; Actinomycetes; Bifidobacteriales; Bifidobacteriaceae. The record is from RNAcentral.
GCCCCAUGCUCCAGAAUAGCUCUUGGAAACGGGUGGUAAUGCUGGAUGCUCCAACUUGACGCAUGUCUUGUUGGGAAAGUGUUUAGUGGCAUGGGAUGGGGUCGCGUCCUAUCAGCUUGUAGGCGGGGUAAUGGCCCAACCUAGGCUUCGACGGGUAGCCGGCCUGAGAGGGCGGACGGCCACAUUGGGACUGAGAUACGGCCCAGACUCCUACGGGAGGCAGCAGCG